GAAAUAACACAUGUUAAAUUAAGACAUUCUCUCAACCAACUCUAUGAGGUAGUCACUCUUGGCAUUCUCUCAGCCAGCUCCAUGAGGUAGUCACCCUUGGCAUUCUCUCAGCCAGCUCUAUGAGGUAGUCACUCUUGGCAUUCUCUCAGCCAACUUCAUGAGGUAGUCACUCUUGGCAUUCUCUCAGCCAGCUCUAUGAGGUAGUCACUCUUGGCAUUCUCUCAGCCAGCUUCAUGAGGUAGUCACUCUUGGCAUUCUCUCAGCCAGCUCUAUGAGGUAGUCUCUCUUGGCAAGACUUUGGCAAAAGAAAAGUAGAGCAAAAGUUGUAAAUUAUCACUGGUUUCUUGUCGGAGAGCGAUUAGUUCAUGAUGAUGUGUUAAUAGUGAUGAGUUAAUGAUGAUGUAUUGAUGAUAAUGUGUUAAUAGUGAUGUGUAGUUAAUAGUGAUGAGUUAAUGAUGAUGU
This is a long non-coding RNA of Oncorhynchus tshawytscha (Chinook salmon), 462 nucleotides long. The record is from Ensembl. NCBI's taxonomy places the organism in Eukaryota, Metazoa, Chordata, Actinopteri, Salmoniformes, Salmonidae.